AUUGAACGCUGGCGGCAGGCCUAACACAUGCAAGUCGAGCGAGCGGCGGACGGGUGAGUAAUGUCUGGGAAACUGCCUGAUGGAGGGGGAUAAAUACUGGAAACGGUAGCUAAUACAGCAUACCAUCAGAUGUGCCCAGAUGGGAUUAGCUAGUAGGUGGGGUAACGGCUCACCGAGGCGACGAUCCCUAGCUGGUCUGAGAGGAUGACCAGCCACACUGGAACUGAGACACGGUCCAGACUCCUACGGGAGGCAGCAGUGGGGAAUAUUGCACACUGGGCGCAAGCCUGAGGCAGCCAUGCCGCGUGUAGGAAGAAGGCCGUCGGGUUGUAAAGUACUUUCAGCGGGGAGGCGUUACCCGCAGAAGAAGCACCGGCUAACUCCGUGCCAGCAGCCGCGGUAAUAC
RNAcentral lists this ribosomal RNA (406 nucleotides) under uncultured bacterium. Its description in RNAcentral is "partial 16S ribosomal RNA". It matches the Rfam family "Bacterial small subunit ribosomal RNA", at positions 29 to 526 of the family's 1533-position model. The record is from RNAcentral.